Cricetulus griseus (Chinese hamster) is the source of this 420-nucleotide non-coding RNA. Lineage: Eukaryota; Metazoa; Chordata; Mammalia; Rodentia; Cricetidae. The record is from the annotation of a RefSeq genome assembly.
AUGACUUGGGCUCCACUAUUGCUCAUCUUCCUCCAUCACUUAAUAGGAUCAUGUGCCCAGGUUGUGCUAACUCAGCCAAACUCUGUGUCAGAGUCUCUAGGGAGAACAGUCACCAUCUCCUGCAAGCGCAGCAGUGGCAACAUUUUGGGCUACGAUGUGAGCUGGUACCAGCAGCACUUUGGAAGCUCGCCCCAAACUGUGAUCUAUGAACACAAUAAAAGACCAUCUGGGGUUCCUGAUAGGUUCUCUGGCUCCAUUGACCGAUCCUCUUCCAACUCAGCCUCCCUGACCAUCACUGAUCUACAGACGGAAGAUGAGGCUGACUACUUCUGUUUGUCUUAUGAUAGUAACUAUCAGCACAGUGAUGAGAAUCAUGGGGAAGUAAGACAAAAUCUCUGCAGAGAACCAGCUGUGAAAUAA